Molecule: ribosomal RNA, 301 nt
Filed under: uncultured bacterium
Lineage: Bacteria
Description: partial 16S ribosomal RNA
Rfam family: Bacterial small subunit ribosomal RNA
Source: RNAcentral
CAGUCGCCGCGGGAAUACGUAGGGUGCAAGCGUUAAUCGGAAUUACUGGGCGUAAAGCGUGCGUAGGCGGUUCGUUAAGUCUGUUGCGAAAGCCCCGGGCUCAACCUGGGAAUGGCAAUGGAUACUGGCGAGCUAGAGUGUGUCAGAGGAUGGUGGAAUUCCCGGUGUAGCGGUGAAAUGCGUAGAGAUCGGGAGGAACAUCAGUGGCGAAGGCGGCCAUCUGGGACAACACUGACGCUGAGGCACGAAAGCGUGGGGAGCAAACAGGAUUAGAUACCCCCGUAGUCCCUGUCUCUUAUAC